RNAcentral lists this ribosomal RNA (497 nucleotides) under uncultured bacterium. RNAcentral's name for it is "partial 16S ribosomal RNA". It matches the Rfam family "Bacterial small subunit ribosomal RNA", at positions 28 to 507 of the family's 1533-position model. The record is from RNAcentral.
GAUGAACGCUGGCGGCGUGCCUAAUACAUGCAAGUCGAGCGAACAGACGAGGAGCUUGCUCCUCUGACGUUAGCGGCGGACGGGUGAGUAACACGUGGAUAACCUACCUAUAAGACUGGGAUAACUUCGGGAAACCGGAGCUAAUACCGGAUAAUAUAUUGAACCGCAUGGUUCAAUAGUGAAAGACGGCUUUGCUGUAACAUAUAGAUGGCUCCGCGCCGCAUUAGCUGGUUGGUAAGGUCACGGCUUACCAAGGGGACGAUGCGUAGCCGACCUGGGAGGGUGAUCGGCCACACUGGAGCGGAGACGCGGUCCAGACUCCUACGGGAGGCAGCAGAAGGGAAUCUUCCGCAAUGGGCGAAAGCCUGACGGAGCAACGCCGCGUGAGUGAUGAAGGUCUUCGGAUCGUAAAACUCUGUUAUUAGGGAAGAACAAAUGUGUAAGUAACUAUGCACGUCUUGACGGUACCUAAUCAGAAAGCCACGGCUAACUACGUG